RNAcentral lists this ribosomal RNA (253 nucleotides) under uncultured bacterium. RNAcentral's name for it is "partial 16S ribosomal RNA". It matches the Rfam family "Bacterial small subunit ribosomal RNA", at positions 524 to 776 of the family's 1533-position model. The record is from RNAcentral.
GACGUAGGGUGCAAGCGUUAUCCGGAUUCACUGGGUGUAAAGCGCGUGCAGGUGGUCUCGUAAGUUGGACGUGAAAUCUCCUGGCUUAACUGGGAGGGGCCGUUCAAUACUGUGAGACUGGAGGGCAGGAGAGGGAGGUGGAAUUCCCGGUGUAGUGGUGAAAUGCGUAGAUAUCGGGAGGAACACCAGUGGCGAAGGCGACCUCCUGGCCUGUUCCUGACACUCAGACGCGAAAGCUAGGGGAGCGAACGGG